AGAUCAGCCCGAGUCUUCCGCAGCGCGCAGGAGCUAGUCGUGCUGCAAAGAAUGAAAUUGGACUUGUCCAGGCGAGUUUCGGACAGUGCUGGGCUGGGCAGGAAUUCAUCAUUCAAAAGCACUGGGCGCUGCCCUCCUCACUCCCCAGCCCUGCUCUGAUCUCCCGGGUGUCUUCACCGCCUCUGGCUCCAAAAUCGGCAGCUGCACCAGCACCCAUCAAACUCUCCAGUAAGGGGAAGUGACAGCUCACCAGUAGCCCGGAAGACCCCUGUGGGCAGAAGCAUGGACUUACUCUUCCUCACGCAGAUGCGGCUGAACCAGAUUUCCUUGGCACCACUCUGGAACUUUCCACAGCCACCACCUCAGACACUAGCCAGACUUUAGGUCCUUUCCUUUCAUGUCUAAAAUGAGACAGUUCACAAUGUUGAUUUUAUUUGUAGGGGAUGUCAGGAUUCCAGAAAAGCAGACUUGGAAAGCAACAAAAUGUUAACAUGCAGCUCACUGAGGCCCUUACACUUGGUCUGGGCACCUCUGUAUGUAAAAAGAAGUCCAAUAUCUUUGCUGGUUGUAGGUGGCCAUAUGUUUCAGCACAGAAAUCGGGCUCCCCUUGCUAGACUAAUUUUUCCUCAGGCUUCAUUCAUUCAUAUUCUUCUGCUUGAUCCUGACUAUCAGGACCAACAGUACCAAAUAACACCAAAGCCUCUUGCCUCCUGUCCUCAGAAUAUUCUGUCUCAGAGGCAUCCGCUUCCCUGCUGGAGCCAUUUCAUUUCAGGCUGAUCCUUAAUUAAAUUCAGCGAGAUGCAGGACCAGUGUGUGUGAACGACAGCCUGUGUGUGUGAGUGUGGACCUGUGUGUGUGUGAACGUGGACCUGUGUGAGUGUGGACUCGUGUGUGUGAACAUGGACCUGUGUGUGUGAGUGUGGAUCUGUGUCUGUGAGUGUAGAUCCAUGUGUGUGAGUGUGGACCUGUGUGUGUAAGUGUGGAUUUGUGUGUGAGCAUGGAUCUGUGUACGUGGACCUGUGUGUGUGAGUGCGGAUCUGUGUGUGAACGUGGACCUAUGUGUGAGUGUGGACCUGUGUGUGUGAGUGUGGAUCUGUGUGUGUGUGAGAGUGGAUCUGUGUCUGUGAGUGAACCUGUGUGCCUGUGAGUGGAUCUGUCCUGUGUGUGUGAGUGUGUGUGUGAACCUCUGUGUGUGUGUGAGUGUCUGUGUGUGAGUGUGUGUGUGGAUCUGUGUGUGUGAGUGUGGAUCUGUGUGUGUGAGUGUGAAUGUGUGUGUGUGUAUCUGUGUGUGUGAGUGUGGAUCUGUGUGUGUGAGUGUGAAUGUGUGUGUGUGUAUCUGUGUGUGUGAGUGUGGGCCUGUGUGUGUGUGAGUGUGGAUCUGUGUGUGUGAGUGUGGUUGUAUGUGAGUGAACGUGGACCUGUAUGUGUGAGUGUGGACCUGUGUGUGUGAACGUGGAUCUGUGUGUGUGAACGUGGUGUUUACAAUCAGCAGGAAGAAGCCUGGAAAUGAGUCCUGAUUAAAUGAGAAUUUAAAUACAGAACAAGUACCCUAGGAGUUCUAGAAAGAUGAAUAAUUCUCAACCCAGCACAGUAACAGUUUACAAUGUGUUUGUGUAUGUUAUAAUGGAGUGGGUUUUGUUACAUGUGUAAUGCUGAUAUCGUAAGAAGAGUAUUGUCAUGCUCACAGGAUGUCAAGUACAGAAGGUUCUAACUGUUUUGUUGUAUUACUUAUCUAUUGCUGCAUAACAAAUUACCACAAACU
Molecule: long non-coding RNA, 1762 nt
Organism: Macaca fascicularis (crab-eating macaque)
Lineage: Eukaryota; Metazoa; Chordata; Mammalia; Primates; Cercopithecidae
Source: Ensembl